Molecule: long non-coding RNA, 1597 nt
Organism: Psammomys obesus (fat sand rat)
Lineage: Eukaryota; Metazoa; Chordata; Mammalia; Rodentia; Muridae
Exons: 2
Source: RefSeq, a predicted model, not a curated record
CCUAGGCUCCUCAGCUCAGCAGGGUUGGGGUGACCCUCCCCCAGAGCUGCACUGUCUGCUGAGGAGGCCUCCUCUCAGAGCUCUGUGGUUCCUGUGUGGAGAGCCGCUUGGGCAUGCCCGGGCAAAACGUCAGAUGUGGAGAGUCGCUUGGGCAUGCCCGGGCAAAACGCCAUUACAAGAUGGUGCCGACAUCCGGCUCUGACCCUGGAAGACAAGUAAUAUUAUGCAUGUGCAAGGGCAAAAGCGCGCCAAGUCUUGGCCCAGCCCAGGGCGUCUUGUGAGGUGAUGAGUAAGCAGCCAAUCAUAGACCACACACCGCCUUAGGGUGUAUAUAAGCAGUGCCAUUCCUGGGCUCGGGGUCUUUCUCCUCUCAUCGCUUGACUGCAAUAAAGCUUGCUGCAGAAGGAUCCUGUUGUCCGUGUGCGUUCUUGCUGGCGAGACGACCACGCGGGUUGCAACAACUGGUGCCGAAACCCGGGAUGCAGGGCUACCGACCAUCGUCGGCGCUGAGGAGACCCCCCCGCCGGGGGGAGGAUUCAGAACUGCAGUCUCAGGAAGAAGAUAAUCCCUUUUGGUGACCGGAACGCUUGACACGGAAGCUUGUGAUACCUGAAGAUGACUCCCCAAAGGACGUGCCUGCAGAGAAAAGUGGUCGGAAGGGUUCGAUGAGACUCUCGAAUCAUUGUGAGCGGCAGUGAUAGCCAUCAACUCGACACGAGUGGACCUGUCAUUGACUGAAGGACUCUCCUCCUGGAUCUCUUCAGCCUUUUCUUUCUUUAAAGAGUGGGUGGGGGUAGGCCUGUUUGGCACUGCCUUAGUUUGCGGUUUAGUGUUCUCACUUUGGUUGGUCUGUAAGCUCAAAGCCCAACAAAAAUGUGACAAGGUCGUAAUUGCUCAAGCGUUUGCAGCCAUGGAACAGGGUUCCUCCCCCGCAAUGUGGCUUUCAAUGCUGACAAAAAACUGAGUGCCUUUCGCUGACAGCCCAUGCACCCCUAGGAGUCGAGCUCCAUUGCACAGGGAAGGGUGUCACAAGUGGUAUGGUCUAAUUUUCUUCACACUCGGGAUGCGAGGUUAAGCACUGCACAGAGAAAGGCUCAUAAUAGGCAGUUCUCUGGGAAGCAUGUUUGAUUGCAUGAAGGUUGUACCCAAGAUCCUUCCCCUGGGAAAAAGGUACGGGACGGGUCUGGAGUCACAUGCAGGUGAAGGGCCUGUGGCUGGCUCUAGUACAAUGCCCCUUUUACACACACUAGGGAUCAAACCUCUACUUCCGCCCGUUGUGUUUCUUGUUUGUUGGUCAGCUUCUAAUAAAACAAAAAGGGGGAGAUGUGGAGAGCCACUUGGGCGUGCCCGGGCAAAACGCCAUUACAAGAUGGUGCCGACAUCUGGCUCUGACCCUGGAAGACAAGUAAUAUUACGCAUGCGCAAGGGCAAAAGCGUGCCAAGUCUUGGCCCAGCCCAGGGUGUCUUGUGAGGUGAUGAGUAAGCAGCCAAUCAUAGACCACACGCCGCCUUAGGGUGUAUAUAAGCAGUGCCAUUCCUGGGCUCGGGGUCUUCCUCCUCUCAUCGCUUGACUGCAAUAAAGCUUGCUGCAGAAGGA